Molecule: unclassified non-coding RNA, 301 nt
Filed under: plant metagenome
Description: partial contains 5.8S ribosomal RNA, internal transcribed spacer 2, and large subunit ribosomal RNA
Rfam family: 5.8S ribosomal RNA (bases 1-105)
Source: RNAcentral
GAAAUGCGAUAAGUAGUGUGAAUUGCAGAAUUCAGUGAAUCAUCGAAUCUUUGAACGCACAUUGCGCCCUAUGGUAUUCCGUAGGGCAUGCAUGUUCGAGCGUCAUUUACACCUUCAAGCCUUGCUUGGUGUUGGGUGACUGUGGCCCCUUUGGGGCCACUCGCCUUAAAGUCAUUGGCGGCCGGUUCGUUGGCUUUGUAGCGCAGCACAAUUGCGUCCUCGAAGCCGCUGGACCAGCUCCCAGAAGCUAAUUUUAAAUGUUUGACCUCGAAUCAGGUAGGGAUACCCGCUGAACUUAAGC